AGUGAACGCUGGCGGUAGGCCUAACACAUGCAAGUCGAACGGCAGCACAGUAAGAGCUUGCUCUUACGGGUGGCGCGUGGCGGACGGGUGAGGAAUACAUCGGAAUCUACUUUUUCGUGGGGGAUAACGUAGGGAAACUUACGCUAAUACCGCAUACGACCUACGGGGGAAAGCAGGGGAUCUUCGGACCUUGCGCGAUUGAAUGAGCCGAUGUCGGAUUAGCUAGUUGGCGGGGUAAAGGCCCACCAAGGCGACGAUCCGAAGCUGGUCUGAGAGGAUGAUCAGCCAGACGGGAACUGAGGAACGGUCCCGACACCGACGGGAGGCAGCAGUGGGGAAUAUUGGACAAGGGGGGAAAGCCUGAUCCAGCCAUACCGCGUGGGGGAAGAAGGCGUUCGGGUUGUAAAGCCCUUUUGUUGGGAAAGAAAAGCAGCAGGUUAAUACCCCGCUGUUCUGACGGUACCCAAAGAAUAAGCACCGGCUAACUUCGUG
Molecule: ribosomal RNA, 492 nt
Filed under: uncultured bacterium
Lineage: Bacteria
Description: partial 16S ribosomal RNA
Rfam family: Bacterial small subunit ribosomal RNA
Source: RNAcentral